RNAcentral lists this long non-coding RNA (302 nucleotides) under Chinchilla lanigera (long-tailed chinchilla). RNAcentral's name for it is "lncRNA (ENSCLAG00000023956.1)". Lineage: Eukaryota; Metazoa; Chordata; Mammalia; Rodentia; Chinchillidae. The record is from RNAcentral.
GAAAGACACCUCUAGCUGUUUCACAAUGCCUUAAUGUGACAGAGCCAGCUCUGAUUUAAAUGGGGGAAGCUGGGGUCAUCAGGCCAUCAUGGAGUCUGGCUACACCAGUGUAGAUGAGUGAUGUCCAGUCAGAGCAGCUUCAUCCAGAUCCGCCAAGCUGAGAGAAACCAGGGAAGGCUUUUGGCAGAGGCCAUAGCUUCUCAGAGACCCUGUCAUCAAGGAACAAAUGAACUCUAUCUCCAGGAUCCCAGAUUCCCUUCAGAUGGAACCUCUCUACAUCAUUGCAGGUGUGUGCAUGCACA